RNAcentral lists this ribosomal RNA (440 nucleotides) under uncultured bacterium. RNAcentral's name for it is "partial 16S ribosomal RNA". It matches the Rfam family "Bacterial small subunit ribosomal RNA", at positions 338 to 795 of the family's 1533-position model. The record is from RNAcentral.
CCUACGGGAGGCAGCAGUGGGGAAUAUUGCACAAUGGGGGAAACCCUGAUGCAGCGACGCCGCGUGAGCGAUGAAGUAUUUCGGUAUGUAAAGCUCUAUCAGCAGGGAAGAAAAUGACGGUACCUGACUAAGAAGCCCCGGAUAACUACGUGCCAGCAGCCGCGGGAAUACGUAGGGGGCAAGCGUUAUCCGGAUUGACUGGGUGUAAAGGGAGCGUAGACGGUCCUGCAAGCCAGAUGUGAAAGCCUGGGGCUCAACCCCGGGACUGCAUUUGGAACUGUAAGGCUAGAGUGUCGGAGAGGCAGGCGGAAUUCCUAGUGUAGCGGUGAAAUGCGUAGAUAUUAGGAGGAACACCAGUGGCGAAGGCGGCCUGCUGGACGAUGACUGACGUUGAGGCUCGAAAGCGUGGGGAGCAAACAGGAUUAGAUACCCCUGUAGUC